ACGGGUGCGGAACACGUGUGCAACCUGCCUUUAUCAGGGGGAUAGCCUUUCGAAAGGAAGAUUAAUACCCCAUAAUAUAUUGAGUGGCAUCACUUAAUAUUGAAAACUCCGGUGGAUAGAGAUGGGCACGCGCAAGAUUAGAUAGUUGGUGAGGUAACGGCUCACCAAGUCUGCGAUCUUUAGGGGGCCUGAGAGGGUGAUCCCCCACACUGGUACUGAGACACGGACCAGACUCCUACGGGAGGCAGCAGUGAGGAAUAUUGGACAAUGGGUGCGAGCCUGAUCCAGCCAUCCCGCGUGAAGGACGACGGCCCUAUGGGUUGUAAACUUCUUUUGUAUAGGGAUAAACCUACUCUCGUGAGAGUAGCUGAAGGUACUAUACGAAUAAGCACCGGCUAACUCCGUGCCAGCAGCCGCGGUAAUACGGAGGGUGCAAGCGUUAUCCGGAUUUAUUGGGUUUAAAGGGUCCGUAGGCGGAUCUGUAAGUCAGUGGUGAAAUCUCACAGCUUAACUGUGAAACUGCCAUUGAUACUGCAGGUCUUGAGUGUUGUUGAAGUAGCUGGAAUAAGUAGUGUAGCGGUGAAAUGCAUAGAUAUUACUUAGAACACCAA
This 611-nucleotide ribosomal RNA is filed under the name Chryseobacterium gleum. Its description in RNAcentral is "bacterial SSU rRNA". It matches the Rfam family "Bacterial small subunit ribosomal RNA", at positions 102 to 712 of the family's 1533-position model. The record is from RNAcentral. Lineage: Bacteria; Pseudomonadati; Bacteroidota; Flavobacteriia; Flavobacteriales; Weeksellaceae.